AAUGAUUUAUAAACCGUUUUUCUUCGCAUUCUUUUUUACCUUCCCCUGACUGGGAGGCGUUUCGUCGUGUGAUACAGAAUGCGAAGACGAACCACAGAGCCUCCUGAAAACAGGGGGCUUUUUUUAU
This is a regulatory RNA element of Chania multitudinisentens RB-25, 127 nucleotides long. It matches the Rfam family "Phenylalanine leader peptide". The record is from Rfam. NCBI's taxonomy places the organism in Bacteria, Pseudomonadati, Pseudomonadota, Gammaproteobacteria, Enterobacterales, Yersiniaceae.